Molecule: ribosomal RNA, 1464 nt
Filed under: Lactiplantibacillus plantarum
Lineage: Bacteria; Bacillati; Bacillota; Bacilli; Lactobacillales; Lactobacillaceae
Description: Lactobacillus plantarum 16S ribosomal RNA
Rfam family: Bacterial small subunit ribosomal RNA
Source: RNAcentral
GCUGGCGGCGUGCCUAAUACAUGCAAGUCGAACGAACUCUGGUAUUGAUUGGUGCUUGCAUCAUGAUUUACAUUUGAGUGAGUGGCGAACUGGUGAGUAACACGUGGGAAACCUGCCCAGAAGCGGGGGAUAACACCUGGAAACAGAUGCUAAUACCGCAUAACAACUUGGACCGCAUGGUCCGAGUUUGAAAGAUGGCUUCGGCUAUCACUUUUGGAUGGUCCCGCGGCGUAUUAGCUAGAUGGUGGGGUAACGGCUCACCAUGGCAAUGAUACGUAGCCGACCUGAGAGGGUAAUCGGCCACAUUGGGACUGAGACACGGCCCAAACUCCUACGGGAGGCAGCAGUAGGGAAUCUUCCACAAUGGACGAAAGUCUGAUGGAGCAACGCCGCGUGAGUGAAGAAGGGUUUCGGCUCGUAAAACUCUGUUGUUAAAGAAGAACAUAUCUGAGAGUAACUGUUCAGGUAUUGACGGUAUUUAACCAGAAAGCCACGGCUAACUACGUGCCAGCAGCCGCGGUAAUACGUAGGUGGCAAGCGUUGUCCGGAUUUAUUGGGCGUAAAGCGAGCGCAGGCGGUUUUUUAAGUCUGAUGUGAAAGCCUUCGGCUCAACCGAAGAAGUGCAUCGGAAACUGGGAAACUUGAGUGCAGAAGAGGACAGUGGAACUCCAUGUGUAGCGGUGAAAUGCGUAGAUAUAUGGAAGAACACCAGUGGCGAAGGCGGCUGUCUGGUCUGUAACUGACGCUGAGGCUCGAAAGUAUGGGUAGCAAACAGGAUUAGAUACCCUGGUAGUCCAUACCGUAAACGAUGAAUGCUAAGUGUUGGAGGGUUUCCGCCCUUCAGUGCUGCAGCUAACGCAUUAAGCAUUCCGCCUGGGGAGUACGGCCGCAAGGCUGAAACUCAAAGGAAUUGACGGGGGCCCGCACAAGCGGUGGAGCAUGUGGUUUAAUUCGAAGCUACGCGAAGAACCUUACCAGGUCUUGACAUACUAUGCAAAUCUAAGAGAUUAGACGUUCCCUUCGGGGACAUGGAUACAGGUGGUGCAUGGUUGUCGUCAGCUCGUGUCGUGAGAUGUUGGGUAAGUCCCGCAACGAGCGCAACCCUUAUUAUCAGUUGCCAGCAUUAAGUUGGGCACUCUGGUGAGACUGCCGGUGACAAACCGGAGGAAGGUGGGGAUGACGUCAAAUCAUCAUGCCCCUUAUGACCUGGGCUACACACGUGCUACAAUGGAUGGUACAACGAGUUGCGAACUCGCGAGAGUAAGCUAAUCUCUUAAAGCCAUUCUCAGUUCGGAUUGUAGGCUGCAACUCGCCUACAUGAAGUCGGAAUCGCUAGUAAUCGCGGAUCAGCAUGCCGCGGUGAAUACGUUCCCGGGCCUUGUACACACCGCCCGUCACACCAUGAGAGUUUGUAACACCCAAAGUCGGUGGGGUAACCUUUUAGGAACCAGCCGCCUAAGGUGG